Molecule: ribosomal RNA, 497 nt
Filed under: uncultured bacterium
Lineage: Bacteria
Description: partial 16S ribosomal RNA
Rfam family: Bacterial small subunit ribosomal RNA
Source: RNAcentral
GAUGGACGCUGGCGGCGUGCCUAAUACAUGCAAGUCGAGCGAACGGACGAGAAGCUUGCUUCUCUGAUGUUAGCGGCGGACGGGUGAGUAACACGUGGAUAACCUACCUAUAAGACUGGGAUAACUUCGGGAAACCGGAGCUAAUACCGGAUAAUAUUUUGAACCGCAUGGUUCAAAAGUGAAAGACGAUCUUGCUGUCACUUAUAGAUGGAUCCGCGCUGCAUUAGCUAGUUGGUAAGGUAACGGCUUACCAAGGCAACGAUGCAUAGCCGACCUGAGAGGGUGAUCGGCCACACUGGAACUGAGACACGGUCCAGACUCCUACGGGAGGCAGCAGUAGGGAAUCUUCCUCAAUGGGCGAAAGCCUGACGGAGCAACGCCGCGUGAGUGAUGAAGGUCUUCGGAUCGUAAAACUCUGUUAUUAGGGAAGAACAUAUGUGUAAGUAACUGUGCACAUCUUGACGGUACCUAAUCAGAAAGCCAGGGCUAACUACGUG